UGUGAGAAAGCAUGUUGUUUAAGGUAUUGAGCUCUAGAGUUUUUAUUGUUGUAUGCAUUGCUCACAUGAAAACAUGAAUGAUAUUGCCUUAAUCUUGAUGAUUGAUUGAAGUGCAUGUGAAUGUCAUAUGAUCAAGGCCAUUUUUGGAGAACCCUUCUCUAGCCAAAUUUUCACCCAAAGUGCUUAAAAAUAUUAUACCCUUUUUGAACCUUAGCCUUAAACAGGAUGUGAACCCUUGUCUUGAAGUUCUUCACCUUGAGUUGGGAUGAGCUUAAUUGUAUGCGAUGAAAAGGUUCAAGUUUGGGGUUGCAUGGGGGAAAUUGAAAGGCAAGUGAAAAGCAUUGAGGUCAAAUGUUGUGAAAAGAAAAAUUCAUGAGAAAAAGAAAAGAAAAGAAGAAAAGCAUGAAGAUGAGCUCAAUGAAAAAGAAAAGGGGAAAAAGUUGGGAAUGAGUGAGAUUGGUGAGGAAGAGAGUUGUGCUUAAAUUUUGAAUAUCAUGGUAGCUCUCUUAACUCAAGGACUUUGUAUUCCAGAAAAACCCAUUUUUCUUGGUAGCCCAACCUCAUUACAAGCCUUGGAAAAGUCCUUUUGAUGGCAUGU
This 598-nucleotide long non-coding RNA is filed under the name Vigna radiata. RNAcentral describes it as "long non-coding RNA (VRAD_LNC000102)". Lineage: Eukaryota; Viridiplantae; Streptophyta; Magnoliopsida; Fabales; Fabaceae. The record is from RNAcentral.